CCGGUGCAAAUGCAAGCAAAACGGGAGACAGUGCAAUAGUCGGUGUCACAGUUCAACAACUUGUGAUAACAAAUGAUUUUAACACAAAUUUCCAUCAAUUUUCAUAUUUUAUAAGAAAUAUUUGAUAAGUUUUAAUAUAAAAACCUAUUUUAUCUGUGAUUUUAUUUCCAGUAGAUGACAUUUUAAACUUCAGUUCUCGUAAUGCUAUUAUGUAACAAAUGUAUAAUUUUUUAUUUAAUUGAAUAAAUGUCUUUUAUUUACUCGCAUUUAAUUUUUAGGCAAUAAGCUUAAUGCCUGGACACAUUUUUUAGGAUUUAAGCUUAAAUCCUAGGAUUUAAGACUAAUGCCUAACAUCAUUUAGGCAUUAGACUUAAUUUCUAGGCGUUAGCUUAUUGCCUAGGAUUUAAGCUUAAUGCCUAAUUUCACUUAUGAGGGCCCUCAUGGGGUUUUUGAUUAUGUGAUUACUUGGCCGUUUUUUUAAUGAUUAUUUGAUUAUUAAGCCAAAUAUUUCAUGAUUAUUUGAUUACCUAGGACUGUAUUUUUAGUUUAUGAUUAUUUGAUUACUAAAGAUAAGCAAAUAUUUAAUGAUUAUGUGAUUAUAUUGGCAAAAAAAUGGUGAUUAUGUGAUUACUAGGACCCCCCCCAUGAGGGGCCUCACUUAU
RNAcentral lists this long non-coding RNA (662 nucleotides) under Mytilus galloprovincialis (Mediterranean mussel). Lineage: Eukaryota; Metazoa; Mollusca; Bivalvia; Mytilida; Mytilidae. The record is from RNAcentral.